UAACGAAUACAACAAUAUUAGACAAAAUACUUCGACAGACCAUUUCAUACUAUUUGAUGAAAGAGGAUAUGACUACAACUCUCUUAAGUUGGAGGUUCUGAUGAAAGAUUGUACUUAGGAGGUUGUUUGGCUGGGGUCAAAGUAAUGCUUGGCUCUUUGCUGAUAGAGCAUUGCUUUUAUGGCCAUGGUUAAUGACACGGUACAGAAGUCCAAUUUAUCUCAUUAAACUCGAUAUGAUAUCCAAUGCAAGGAAAGUAACAUUGUUGACAGAUGAUUUAUAUAAAUUUAGUGUUACUUGUCUCGAUUAGUGUCUGUUCAUUUUUCAAGAUCGCUGGCGCAUUUGGAUGAAAGAGUGUAAGAGCAGACAAGAACAUGAAAAAAAUUUUAAAAUUUGCCGUUGAGGCCUCGUAAUUAAACGUUUCCUCUUUCGAGUUCAUCUACUAGUCAGUCUUUGCAUUGAUGCCAUUAAUGAAUUUGUUUUGGAAAUUAACGAAAAAAGGGAAAUGAGCAUAAGUACCAACUCGAAGCUUCAAGCUUAACGGGGAAGAAGGGACGUAAAGCUAAUCUAAACUUUAAACA
Molecule: long non-coding RNA, 579 nt
Organism: Glossina fuscipes
Lineage: Eukaryota; Metazoa; Arthropoda; Insecta; Diptera; Glossinidae
Exons: 3
Source: RefSeq, a predicted model, not a curated record